UAAUGUGUUGGUUGAACCUGAUGUCAUCAGCGCUAUCCAUGACAUCAUUUUAACUUGUACGGAUGAUAUAUGAUAUCAUUAGGGCAAUCCAUAAUGUCAUUACUAUACAGAAUCACCGAUUCUUCUUUAGAACCGAAUGAUUCAACGAUUUCGGUUAUUCUUUAAAACCGGGCGAUUCAACGAUUUACUAAGGAGCCUUGAUGAUAGAACCAGCGAUUCAACGAUUUACUGACGAGCCUUGAUGACAGAACCGACGAUUCAACGAUUUACUGUACAUAAUAUUCAACGAUUUACUAACGAUCCAUGAUGUCAUUAGGGCGAUACACAAUUUUACUGUACAGAAUUUACUGUACAGAAUCGUCGGUUCUUCUUUUGAACAGGGCAAUUCAACGAUUUACUAUACAUAAUAUUCAAUGAUUUACUGACGAGCCUUGAUGAUAGAAUCGACGAUUCAACGAUUUACUGUACAUAAUAUUCAAGGAUUUACUGACAAUCCAU
Molecule: long non-coding RNA, 498 nt
Filed under: Amborella trichopoda
Lineage: Eukaryota; Viridiplantae; Streptophyta; Magnoliopsida; Amborellales; Amborellaceae
Description: long non-coding RNA (ATRI_LNC000057)
Source: RNAcentral